GUAGUCUCGCACAGAUGCAUAUCAAUAAGCGGAGGAAAAGAAACUAACAAGGAUUCCCUUAGUAACGGCGAGUGAAGCGGGAAGAGCUCAAAUUUGAAAUCUUCAAGGUUAUACCUUGACGAAUUGUAGUUUAAAGAAGUGUUUUCUGUUGAAGUUUUGGUAAAAGUUCUUUGGAAUAGGACAUCAUAGAGGGUGAGAAUCCCGUAUUUGACCAUUAUUUUCAGCUGUGUGAUACACUUUCAAAGAGUCGGGUUGUUUGGGAAUGCAGCCCAAAACGGGAGGUAAAUUUCUUCUAAGGCUAAAUAUUGGCGAGAGACCGAUAGCGAACAAGUACCGUGAGGGAAAGAUGAAAAGAACUUUGAAAAGAGAGUUAAAUAGUACGUGAAAUUGUCAAAAGGGAAGCGUUUAACACAGUGUUGUUUUCUGAAAAUCAACCUCUGUUAGCUUUAUGCAUGUUUGUUUAGACCUAAUCAGCUAUCUUGCAUGUUCUAUUGUUUGCAGUGGUGCACUUUUCAGUUUACAGGUCAACAUCAGUUUUUUUUACCGUAAAAAAGUUAAAGAAAGGUAGCUCAUGGCUCCGGUCGUGAGUGUUAUAGUCUUUUUCCUAUGCGGUAGGAGAGACUGAGGUCUGCAGUGUAGGCUAUUUGGCUAGAUACUCAGGUGCUAUGUGAUACCAUUUCAUAAACAACUUGUUGAUCAUGUUUUGUCUAUUGCAUACUCGCUUAGUACUAUCAUACCUACGCUUAGGAUGUUGAAGAUGUAGCACAUCAU
Molecule: ribosomal RNA, 771 nt
Filed under: uncultured Neocallimastigales
Lineage: Eukaryota; Fungi; Neocallimastigomycota; Neocallimastigomycetes; Neocallimastigales
Description: partial large subunit ribosomal RNA
Rfam family: Eukaryotic large subunit ribosomal RNA (bases 6-660)
Source: RNAcentral